AUUCUCUGAAGCAAAUGAUCUACUCCAAAUUUGGUAAGGAGAAGCAUUUCGAAGGAAAUAGCGUUCACUACAAUAAAUCAUUAAAGGUCAUACUUUAUUCAAUGAAAAAAGUGGGUUUUAUAACAGUGUAAUAAGGAGUAGCAACCACCAACUAAAUACAAUAAAGUUUUGUCAGUAAAUAAAUUAUAUACUACAAUCA
This is a long non-coding RNA of Triticum aestivum (bread wheat), 199 nucleotides long. RefSeq lists it as uncharacterized. The transcript is spliced from 2 exons. The record is from RefSeq and is a predicted model, not a curated record. Lineage: Eukaryota; Viridiplantae; Streptophyta; Magnoliopsida; Poales; Poaceae.